This 465-nucleotide ribosomal RNA is filed under the name Vreelandella stevensii. RNAcentral's name for it is "partial 16S ribosomal RNA". It matches the Rfam family "Bacterial small subunit ribosomal RNA", at positions 338 to 795 of the family's 1533-position model. Lineage: Bacteria; Pseudomonadati; Pseudomonadota; Gammaproteobacteria; Oceanospirillales; Halomonadaceae. The record is from RNAcentral.
CCUACGGGUGGCAGCAGUGGGGAAUAUUGGACAAUGGGCGAAAGCCUGAUCCAGCCAUGCCGCGUGUGUGAAGAAGGCCUUCGGGUUGUAAAGCACUUUCAGUGGGGAAGAAAGCCUUGGGGCUAAUACCCUCGAGGAAGGACAUCACCCACAGAAGAAGCACCGGCUAACUCCGUGCCAGCAGCCGCGGUAAUACGGAGGGUGCGAGCGUUAAUCGGAAUUACUGGGCGUAAAGCGCGCGUAGGCGGUCUGAUAAGCCGGUUGUGAAAGCCCCGGGCUCAACCUGGGAACGGCAUCCGGAACUGUCAGGCUAGAGUGCAGGAGAGGAGGGUAGAAUUCCCGGUGUAGCGGUGAAAUGCGUAGAGAUCGGGAGGAAUACCAGUGGCGAAGGCGGUCUUCUGGACUGACACUGACGCUGAGGUGCGAAAGCGUGGGUAGCAAACAGGAUUAGAUACCCCUGUAGUC